UGGGGAAUAUUGCACAAUGGGCGCAAGCCUGAUGCAGCAACGCCGCGUGAGGGACGACGGCCUUCGGGUUGUAAACCUCUUUUAGUAGGGAAGAAGCGAAAGUGACGGUACCUGCAGAAAAAAGCACCGGCUAACUACGUGCCAGCAGCCGCGGUAAUACGUAGGGUGCAAGCGUUGUCCGGAAUUAUUGGGCGUAAGGAGCUCGUAGGCGGUUUGUCGCGUCUGCUGUGAAAACCCGAGGCUCAACCUCGGGCCUGCAGUGGGUACGGGCAGACUAGAGUGCGGUAGGGGAGAAUGGAAUUCCUGGUGUAGCGGUGGAAUGCGCAGAUAUCAGGAGGAACACCGAUGGCGAAGGCAGUUCUCUGGGCCGUAACUGACGCUGAGGAGCGAAAGCGUGGGGAGCGAACAGGAUUAGAUACCCUGGGUAGUCCACGCCGUAAACGUUGGGCGCUAGAUGUGGGGGACCAUUCCACGGUUUCCGUGUCGCAGCUAACGCAUU
This 499-nucleotide ribosomal RNA is filed under the name uncultured bacterium. RNAcentral describes it as "partial 16S ribosomal RNA". It matches the Rfam family "Bacterial small subunit ribosomal RNA", at positions 355 to 861 of the family's 1533-position model. The record is from RNAcentral.